CCAGGGGUAUGCUUAGUGGUAGAGCACUUGCUUAGCAUGCAUGAGGCUCUGGGUUCAAGACCUAGCACCAUGA
This 73-nucleotide transfer RNA is filed under the name Ictidomys tridecemlineatus (thirteen-lined ground squirrel). RNAcentral describes it as "Spermophilus tridecemlineatus (thirteen-lined ground squirrel) tRNA". It matches the Rfam family "tRNA". Rfam says of the family: Transfer RNA (tRNA) molecules are approximately 80 nucleotides in length. The record is from Rfam by way of RNAcentral. Lineage: Eukaryota; Metazoa; Chordata; Mammalia; Rodentia; Sciuridae.